UCAGGAUGAACGCUAGCUACAGGCUUAACACAUGCAAGUCGAGGGGUAGCAGGGUAGCAAUACCGCUGACGACCGGCGCACGGGUGAGUAACACGUAUCCAACCUUCCCAUAACUCAGGGAUAGCCUUUCGAAAGAAAGAUUAAUACCUGAUAGUACUUUUUCAAGGCAUCUUGAGAAAGUUAAAGAUUUAUUGGUUAUGGAUGGGGAUGCGUUCCAUUAGAUAGUUGGUGAGGUAACGGCUCACCAAGUCUUCGAUGGAUAGGGGUUCUGAGAGGAAGGUCCCCCACAUUGGUACUGAGACACGGACCAAACUCCUACGGGAGGCAGCAGUGAGGAAUAUUGGUCAAUGGGCGAGAGCCUGAACCAGCCAAGUAGCGUGAAGGAAUGAAGGUCCUAUGGAUUGUAAACUUCUUUUAUAGUAGAAUAAAGUGAUCCACGUGUGGAUUUUUGUAUGUAUACUAUGAAUAAGGAUCGGCUAACUCCGUGCCAGCCGCCGC
RNAcentral lists this ribosomal RNA (498 nucleotides) under uncultured bacterium. RNAcentral's name for it is "bacterial SSU rRNA". It matches the Rfam family "Bacterial small subunit ribosomal RNA", at positions 24 to 518 of the family's 1533-position model. The record is from RNAcentral.